UCUCCGUUGGUGAACCAGCGGAGGGAUCAUUACCGAGUUUACAACUCCCAAACCCCAUGUGAACCUUACCAAACGUUGCUUCGGCGGUAUGCCCCGGGCGCGGGCCGCAAGGCCUCAGCCACGGAACCAGGAGCCCGCCGGAGGCCCAAACCAAACUCUUGUUUUUGUAGAAUCUUCUGAGUGGCCUUUUAGGCAAAAAAUGAAUCAAAACUUUCAACAACGGAUCUCUUGGUUCUG
This 237-nucleotide unclassified non-coding RNA is filed under the name plant metagenome. RNAcentral describes it as "partial contains small subunit ribosomal RNA, internal transcribed spacer 1, and 5.8S ribosomal RNA". The record is from RNAcentral.